AGAGAGAGACAUGCGCGCAUAUCAAUAAGCGGAGGAAAAGAAACUAACAAGGAUUCCCUUAGUAACGGCGAGUGAAGCGGGAAGAGCUCAAAUUUGAAAUCUUCAAGGUUCUACCUUGACGAAUUGUAGUUUAUAGAAGUGUUUUCUGUUAGUGGAGUGGCAAAAGUUCUUUAGAAUAGGACAUCAUAGAGGGUGAGAAUCCCGUAUUUGGUCAUUCCUCCUAGCGUUGUGAUACACUUUCAACGAGUCGGAUUGUUUGGGAAUGCAGUCCAAAAUGGGUGGUAAAUUUCAUCUAAAGCUAAAUAUUGGCGAGAGACCGAUAGCGAACAAGUACCGUGAGGGAAAGAUGAAAAGAACUUUGAAAAGAGAGUUAAACAGUACGUGAAAUUGUCAAAAGGGAAGCGUUUGACACCAGUGUUGUUUUUCCGAAAAUCAAUUACGAAUGUUUUAUUUUUGAGGAGUUAUGACUUCAUCGGCUUGCUCCUUUCUUUACGAAACUUUCUUAAUGCACUUUUCGGUUAACAAGUCAACAUCAAUUUCUUUUGUUGUAAAAGGGUAUGAGGAAGGUGGCUUUCUUUUCGGAGAAAGUGUUUAUAGCCUCGUGCCUCUGCAAUCGGAGAGAUUGAGGUCUGCAGCGUAGAUCCUUCGGGGUUAGAUACAGUUUGUGCUAAGUUAUAGCUUUUCAUAGACAACUUGUUGACUAUGUUUAGUCUUGUAGCUUACUCGCUGAUGCUAUUUUACCUACGCUUAGGAUGUUGAUAGUCACAGCGUGUAC
RNAcentral lists this ribosomal RNA (775 nucleotides) under uncultured Neocallimastigales. RNAcentral's name for it is "partial large subunit ribosomal RNA". It matches the Rfam family "Eukaryotic large subunit ribosomal RNA", at positions 23 to 644 of the family's 3401-position model. Lineage: Eukaryota; Fungi; Neocallimastigomycota; Neocallimastigomycetes; Neocallimastigales. The record is from RNAcentral.